AAAAGAAUGCGUCGAACCGGCCAAACCAGCAAGAUUAUCAAAGCUAAUAACGCUAAACUAGAGGCAGAAUUAUUUGGCGAGAGCAGUUCAUUCGGUGCUAACAUCAUUCCUGCAGCAACCACGUAUGAAGAUCCGGAACCAAUUAGCCAUCAUUCGUUUGAUGAAGAAGUUGAAGCAGAAAAAAAAUUAUCAUCGACUGGUUAAUUUCCGAUGAUUGUGACAAUAUAGAAAGCUACGAUAACAUCAACGAUGCGGAAGAUGAAAUUGAAUCAUCCUUGGACAAAGUGCAGGAGUUCCUAGAUGAAGAAGAACCAUUUGAAGAGGUUAUAAAAAAGUGGGCAUUAAAAACGUACCAAACCCAUCAAGCUCUGAAUGGUCUGUUAGCCAUUUUACGUGCAAGAACCAACUACACUCUUCCCGAAGAUGCGCGUACAUUACUGGGAACAAAGCAAUGCGGAAAAGAUAUUGUUCCAAUCGAAGGAGGAGAAUUUUGGUUCCCGGGAGUACGAUCGGUGCUUAACAGACACUUUCGUAACGUGCAACCAAAUGUGAGUUUAUUCUCAUUGAACCUCUCCAUCGAUGGACUUCCCUUGAACAAGAGUACCCGCAAACAGUUUUGGCCAAUACUGAUGAGCAUUCAGGAACUGCCUGAAGUGCCAGUGCUAAUGGUUGGAAAUUUCUUUGGAUCAUCUAAACCAAAAAGUGUCGAGCAAUACCUGAGGCCGCUUGUAAAUGAGCUGAAUGAGAUGAUACAGAAUGGCAUUGUGAUAGCCGAUAAGCUCAUCCAAAUACGCGUUAGAGCUAUCAUCGCAGAUUCACCAGCUCGUGCGUUCAUAAAAGGUGUUGCAUACUUCAAUCAUAAACUUGGGUGCCAAAAAUGUACAGUAGAAGGAAAACAUCACAGUGCGGCACGUGUUUCCUAUUUUCCCGAUAUCGACGCUCCAGUAACAACGGAUGAAGAUUUCCGUGCAUUGAAAUAUGGUGACCAUCAUAGAGAACCAUCUCCGUUCAUAGAUUUGCUCUUCUUUGACAUGAUCAAAGGUUUCCCUACAUCAGAUUGCCUGCAUCUGCUUGACUGCAGAAUAACCAGAACAUAUUUUAAUUGUUUGAAAUCAGGCAAAUUGGGAAUGCAUCGCAAGUGGUCACCAGAUACAAUUAGUAGGAUUAAUAAUGUUCUUCAAAACGUGGAAAUACCUACAGACUUUCACCGCAAGUUCCGCAAUAUCGAAGACACAGGCUUGUGGAAAGCCAGUGAAUUCAAUAUGUUUUUGCAUUAUGCUAGCUUCAUAGUAUUUAAAGACAUACUAACAGAAGAAGAUUAUAAUCAUUUCAUGUUAUACUACUGUGCAGUUACACUGUUCUCAACCAAUGUGUAUAGAGAACAUUGGCCUGAGGCAGAUCGUAUGCUAAAACAGUUUGUAGUACAGUAUGGUGUAUUGUAUGGUGAACAUCGUUUAACCAGUAAUCUACACAGUUUGGUGCAUGUUUACGAUGAUGUAUGCACAUUUCGAGCCCUUAAAACUUUUUCUACCUAUCCUUUCGAGGAUAAGUUACAGCAUGUGAAAAACUCCCUUCGAAACGGGCACAAGGUUUUGGCGCAGGCUGCAAACAGGAUAUCGGAGCAAACACCACAUUCAACAGUUAGCAAGCAUCCAGCAUUCCCGUAUUUAGAAUGCAAAGGUAGUGGAGUAACAUUGCAUAUAAAUUAUAAUAUGCGUCUAUAUCCAGGUACUCAAGAUAAUUGGUUUUUAACUAAGGAUUUUUAUAUUGCUAAAUAUUGUAAGGCAGAAAAAAUAGGAUCAACGAUUAACAUUUAUGGGACAGCAUUGAACAAAAUAACAGAAACUCAUACAUUCUUUUGUUCGCCUAUGAUGAAAGAUAUAUAUGAGGCAAAUACAAGCGACUUUACCAUAGAAUCGAUAGUUUUUUCACCAACAGAUAUCAAGUGUAAAUUAGUAGCUAUUAAAACGGACGACACGAACUAUGUAUUUGUACCUCUCAUACAGACAUUAGUUGAAUAAAUAACUGUAAAAUUUUGAAUUAUCAAUUGUUAUGUUAUAAUAAAAAGUAAUAUUGUAAUUGUUUUCGAAAAAAUAAAUAAUAAUCACAUAUAAUCUGGUGUAUAUUACAUUGUAUUUGCGGCAAUCAGUAUACUGAUGAACCUUUCACUAUUAAAUAUUUACUUUUAUCACAUACAAAGUUGACUUAGUUGUUUACGUGAUUGUUUCAGGUUUUAGUCAGUGUUUAAUUUAUCACAGCUUGUGUUACUUUCGUAUCACAUUUUUUGUCAUAAUUUUAUAUGACAGCAGUCUUUAACGUGGCCGGAUCGAACAACGUAUCCCAUUUGGAUCGUUUUGCUAUACGCAGGACGCAGCUACGAAUAAAGUUAAGAUAGUCAGAAUUAAAUAUAUACACUACUUAAACCUAUGUUUGAUACGGUGGACGGAUGAAUGCUGCUUGCUGACGACUGCUCUUCGUGAAAUGUUGAUCCCGGUGAUGAUGAAACACACGGUUCCGGUGUCAUGCUUGGUGACGGCUGACGGAAUCCUUGAUGCACGACAGUCGUUUUUGCCGGUCGCGCAAAGUCAUGCGCGCAUGAACCAGCAGCUGAAGCAACAGACGAUUUCGGCGUCACACUUGUGGUCGCUAGUGGAACAACACGCACGGAACUAGCAGGCACAAGAAUCAUCCCACGUAUCGCUUUCGUUGAGGGCUGCGAUCCUCGCUUUUGUGCCAUCGAUCCUGCCGGACGCGUAGCGAUAUCCACGGAACCAGCAUUGAGAGCAGUAGAAGAUUCCGACGUCGCAGACGAUCCUGCCGGCUGCGGAAUGACACGCAUGGAACCUGCAGUGGGAACAAAUGCCGGUACCGGCGUCGCACUAGUGGACGGCUGCGAUCCUCGCUUUUGUUUCACCGAUCCUGCCGGUCGCGUAGCGAUAUCCAUGGAACCAGCAUCGGGGGCAAGAGACGGUUCCGGCGUCGGUCUUGAUGACGUUCGCGGUCCAAAAACACGGACGAUCGCUCCUGUGGAGCAUAACACAGCCGAAGGCAGUUGUUGCAGUGCAAAAAGGCGCCCUUUCUUUGGUGGUUCCGACAUUAUAUUUUGGCUGAAAUAAUCAAUCGUUUUAUUAUUUUUUAUGUGAAACUGCUGAGUCGAAUUUGAAUGCUGCUUUGCGCCUUGAAAUCUGAAUGUUUAUGUUUUCAGCUGUGACUUUGAAUAAAGGGUAACAAUCACACGCA
Molecule: RNA transcript, 3240 nt
Organism: Anopheles stephensi (Asian malaria mosquito)
Lineage: Eukaryota; Metazoa; Arthropoda; Insecta; Diptera; Culicidae
Exons: 6
Source: RefSeq, a predicted model, not a curated record